GCAGGAUUAGGCAUGCAAGUCGAACGAAUCCCAGCCUCUCACUAUGCUCUCAAGCUGGCGAGCCGAGUCGCGUAAGCGACCGGUGUCAGCCCUGAGAAGCGCAGUGAGGGGCUGGGGAAAGUGGCGAAAGGGGCAGUAAGGCGCGGGUAACCUACCCUGGGACUGGGAUAGCCUUCCUAACGGAUGGGUAAUACCGGGCGACGUGUUCGAGGGGCAUCUCUUGAACACUAAAUGAAUUUCGCCCUGGGAGGGGCUCACGUAGUAUUAGCUUGAUAGGUGUGGUAACGGCUCACCAAGGCUGAGAUGCUUAGCAGGUGUAGAGAGCACGACCUGCGCCACUGGCACUGAGACGCUGGCCAGACUCCUACGGGAGGCUGCAUGUCGAGGAUCUUUGGCAAUGGGCGCAAGCCUGACCAAGCGACGCCGCGUAGCGCGAUGAAGGCCUUCGGGUUGUAAAGCGCUGUCGAGGGAGAGAAAGCCGAAAAGGUAGAUCGACCCCUGGAGGAAGGACGGGCUAAGUUCAGUGCCCAGUCAGACACCGCGGUAAGACGAAACGUUCCUUAACGUUAAUACGGAUCCACUUGGGGCUUAAAGGGCGCGUAGGCUGUUUACCAAGGUCCGGGGUAAAUCUUUCGGCUAACCGGAAAGUGCUGGAUA
This 657-nucleotide ribosomal RNA is filed under the name uncultured bacterium. RNAcentral describes it as "bacterial SSU rRNA". It matches the Rfam family "Bacterial small subunit ribosomal RNA", at positions 44 to 631 of the family's 1533-position model. The record is from RNAcentral.